RNAcentral lists this ribosomal RNA (164 nucleotides) under Exacum trinervium. RNAcentral describes it as "5.8S ribosomal RNA". It matches the Rfam family "5.8S ribosomal RNA". Rfam says of the family: 5.8S ribosomal RNA (5.8S rRNA) is a component of the large subunit of the eukaryotic ribosome. It is transcribed by RNA polymerase I as part of the 45S precursor that also contains 18S and 28S rRNA. The record is from RNAcentral. Lineage: Eukaryota; Viridiplantae; Streptophyta; Magnoliopsida; Gentianales; Gentianaceae.
AAAACGACUCUCGGCAAUGGAUAUCUCGGCUCUCGCAUCGAUGAAGAACGUAGCAAACUGCGAUACUUGGUGUGAAUUGCAGAAUCCCGUGAAUCAUCGAGUCUUUGAAAGCAAGUUGCGCCCAAAGCCGUCAGGCCGAGGGCACGCCUGCCUGGGCAUCACGA